GUUGACGCUAUGCAGAAAAAUAUAGCCUGGUGAGGAGAUGGUGAAUGAUACAAGGAUUAGCACCUGAAGGAAACAGGGUGGGCUGUCAACCUGGCCAGAGAGGUGAUGGCAGUGAUGUUGUCCUGAGGACUGAUUGCUAUGCCCAGAUGAUCUGUUGAAGUUGGCUGCCUGAUCCAACAUACAGCAUAAUUGAAGAGGACAAGGAACAGAAUCCAUUCCCGUUUCACCCCAGUAACUACGCCAAAUUCAACAGAGAGCUCUCCAUAUGGUCUAACACAAGUGAGAAUGUGGUUUCUGGAUGAAAAACAGAACAGACUGACCCUCUGGCCACAGC
Long non-coding RNA from Leptonychotes weddellii (Weddell seal), 334 nucleotides. RefSeq lists it as uncharacterized. The record is from RefSeq and is a predicted model, not a curated record. Lineage: Eukaryota; Metazoa; Chordata; Mammalia; Carnivora; Phocidae.